UACGAGGGGGGCAAGCGUUGUUCGGAAUUAUUGGGCGUAAAGGGCGCGUAGGCGGUUUGACAAGUCUGAUGUGAAAUCUAUGGGCUCAACCCAUAGCCUGCAUUAGAAACUGUCGGGCUUGAGUAUGGGAGAGGUGAGUGGAAUUUCCGGUGUAGCGGUGAAAUGCGUAGAUAUCGGAAGGAACACCUGUGGCGAAAGCGGCUCACUGGACCAUAACUGACGCUGAGGCGCGAAAGCUAGGAGAGCAAACAGG
This 253-nucleotide ribosomal RNA is filed under the name uncultured bacterium. RNAcentral describes it as "partial 16S ribosomal RNA". It matches the Rfam family "Bacterial small subunit ribosomal RNA", at positions 524 to 776 of the family's 1533-position model. The record is from RNAcentral.